AUUAUCUGUCAACAUCUUUGUUUCUGUGCAGAUGUCUCAUUUUGUUGGAAGCUUAAUUUCAUAAAUGUUUUUUUAAUAUAUAUAUUGCUAUUUGCUUCUUUCAGUCAGCAUGUAUUGCAAGGAUCUGUUUUUGUGCAUUUGUCUUUUUUCAUUGGAGCAUAAUCACCUUCAAUAUUAUUAUUUUCAGGACCUAGCACUUGUCCAAUGAAUCUGUUAUCAUUAAAUUUUGAGUGCUUAUGCACUUUGGUCCCAGGUUUAAAUAGAUCAAGGAAUUAAUGGAGCAUAGCCUCAAACUAAAAUUCAGUAAUUUGAUUUUUGUGAUUGUCUUAUUAAUGAAAUCUGUAUUGGAUAUCAUCUCUAUAUGUAAAAUAUAUAAGGGAAUUGAAACUUAUGUUGAAUGGCAUAAUUUGUUUGACUGAGAGUGUAUGUCUUUAUUUUUGAUAGUUUCAUCUGAUGGAAAUCUACACAUAAGCUACUUUUUUUCAAUAGAACUUCCUAUUACCUAUCAAAAAGAAGGAAAUCUACACGUAAGCUUCCAUGAGAGGGAAAAUAUAAUAAAAAUGAAAAAAAAGUGUACUGGCUUGAAUUCACUAAUAUGAAUGGAGUGAAGAGUGAAGUUGUGUGUUAAAAACUUAUGAACUAUGAAGUGCUUAUGUAAUCUAGCAAUAAUCAGCGAACAAGGCUGCAAUUUUGGAGAGACUAACCUAACCUGCAAUUUUGGAGAGACUAAGUCCCACUUGAACACAUGUUUACAAGAAAAUGUUUUUAAAGAACAUUGGUCUAAUUUUCACAAUGAUUAAUUGAUAAGGACUAGGAUGGUAGCAUUGUCUUUAUGUUGAAUUGAAAUCUUAUUGCAAGGAAAAAAAGAAAGAUAUUUUUUACUAUUGGCAACAUUACACUCAUUAUGUGAAAGGAAGAUUUUAUAUUAUUUUCUAUCAAGUGAUUUGAGUGAGAUGAAUGGAUGAGACCCAUUAUGUUCAAGUUGGAUGUUCAUAUGAAAUCUGCCUUUCAGUAUUAUGAUAGCUCUGGCUUUCCUAACACUUAAAAAUGUAAAUAUGUAUGACUGAGCUCAAUGCAUUGGGUGUUCAGCCAAGAAAAUGAGCAGGGAGGAAGCAAAGAUCCAAAGGGAUUUUGCAAUAUAUUCUGGAUGGCGAAUACAUUUUAAUGUUGAAUGGUAUAAAGCAAAAGAGAGGGCUGCAAAGCCUACAAUUAAGCUUAAGCUGGUGGCAGCCAUAGUUCUUGUUUAAGAAGAAGGGAGUAGCUCAAAUUUGUGAAAGUAAUUGCUGUGGAAGGUGGAAAUAGCAGACCAUUUAGAAGAUGUACACCGGCUUGUGGACAAGACAAAGAAGGUUUAUUUGAGGAUGCUGGACAAACUUAUCAUAGGGUCCAUAAUGGCUUCUAUGUCGUACAUGAGAGCUAAGUGGUCCAAUAUGCUGACGAAUUGGACUGUAAAGUAGAAAUUUUUGCUUUGUUUUUAUUUUGUGACAGGUGUAACUGUACUGACUGUUUCUGAAGUUUAUGACACCGUGGGGGUUGGCUGCUGGGAUUGCUAGGCAGUGAGUGACAACCAAAGGUGUUUUGAAGACGCGAGCGUUGUAAAUGGGGGACCGCUACAACUUAUAAUAGAAGAGAUGAGACCAUAGCAGCAGAAAUUGAUUACAGAAAAGGGGAUAAAAAUUUAUGACUAGUCCAUAAGAUAAAAGUAACCUGAAUCUAAUUUAGAACAGAUAAAAAGGUUCGGCCUUGAUGCGAUGACAAGUGCUUCCACCAAAAGCAAGAGGUUGAGGGUUUGAGUCUGGGAAUAAGCCUCUCCAAAAAUUAUUAGGGAUAAGGUUGCCUAACAUGACCUAUCCAAGAACCCGGAAAAGUGGGAGUUUUGUGCAAUAAGUAUGACCUUUAUAAUAUUCCAGUUAGGAACGCUCACAAGCACAACCAAUACUCAGUAGAUCUAAACAAGCAGAUUAGAAACUCACUGCAAAAUGGAGAGGUUGCCGGUGAAGGAGUGCAAAUGGAAGGGGCAUGUCUCUUCUGUGUGAAUUCACUCUCUGCAUAUCAACCUCUUUUACCUCCCAAGUUGGGAGACGAUGGGUGGGGGUGCUCUCUGGAUUGAAAAUACAAUUGAAUUAUGUUCUUUAUGGCAUAACUUGAUCAGUGGAAGGAACAUGUAUGGAGUGGUAUCACCUCUACAUGCAGAUACUGCUAUAUCAUUUGCAUUCUUUGGAUCAUCUUUUAUGGUAAGAAUUGCUUGCUUAAUGACGUACUGGUUCUUGAAAUAAUUUUUGUAAUUGGCAAUGUGAUAAUUCACAUCUCCAGAGUCCAGGGUAAAUUAUUGACUUUUAAGCAAUCAUUGGGAAAUCUUUAAGAGUCUAAAUUUGUAGUCUAUGGGUUGUCUUUUGGUCCUCCCAUUGUGUGUGUUGCCUCAUACCAUGGGAAUUCCACAGUUUUGGCAAAACAAGUACCAUGUCAUUAGUUUUGCUUUAAUGUUAUUGCCUGAUUCAGUAAGUAUUGUAGUAACAUGAAAUGCAGGAGAUGAUUUCAAUUCA
Long non-coding RNA from Quercus lobata, 2543 nucleotides. RefSeq lists it as uncharacterized. The record is from RefSeq and is a predicted model, not a curated record. The transcript is spliced from 2 exons. NCBI's taxonomy places the organism in Eukaryota, Viridiplantae, Streptophyta, Magnoliopsida, Fagales, Fagaceae.